This 408-nucleotide ribosomal RNA is filed under the name uncultured Akkermansia sp. RNAcentral describes it as "partial 16S ribosomal RNA". It matches the Rfam family "Bacterial small subunit ribosomal RNA", at positions 355 to 774 of the family's 1533-position model. The record is from RNAcentral. Lineage: Bacteria; Pseudomonadati; Verrucomicrobiota; Verrucomicrobiia; Verrucomicrobiales; Akkermansiaceae.
UCGAGAAUCAUUCACAAUGGGGGAAACCCUGAUGGUGCGACGCCGCGUGGGGGAGCGAAGGUCUUCGGAUUGUAAACCCCUGUCAAGUGGGAGCAAAUUAAAAAGAUAGUACCACUAGAGGAAGAGACGGCUAACUCUGUGCCAGCAGCCGCGGUAAUACAGAGGUCUCAAGCGUUGUUCGGAAUCACUGGGCGUAAAGCGUACGUAGGCGGCUUGGUAAGUCGUGUGUGAAAGGCAGGGGCUCAACCUCUGGACUGCACAUGAUACUGCCAGGCUAGAGUAAUGGAGGGGAAACCGGAAUUCUCGGUGUAGCAGUGAAAUGCGUAGAUAUCGAGAGGAACACUCGUGGCGAAGGCGGGUUUCUGGACAUUAACUGACGCUGAGGUACGAAGGCUAGGGGAGCGAAAG